UACGGAGGGUGCAAGCGUUAUCCGGAUUCACUGGGUUUAAAGGGUGCGUAGGCGGACUGUUAAGUCAGUGGUGAAAUCUCAGAGCUUAACUCUGAAACUGCCAUUGAUACUAUCAGUCUUGAAUGUUCUGGAGGUGAGCGGAAUAUGUCAUGUAGCGGUGAAAUGCUUAGAUAUGACAUAGAACACCCAUUGCGAAGGCAGCUCACUACGGAAAUAUUGACGCUGAGGCACGAAAGCGUGAGGAUCAAACAGGAUUAGAUCCCUGGUAGUCC
This 272-nucleotide ribosomal RNA is filed under the name uncultured prokaryote. RNAcentral's name for it is "partial 16S ribosomal RNA". It matches the Rfam family "Bacterial small subunit ribosomal RNA", at positions 524 to 796 of the family's 1533-position model. The record is from RNAcentral.